UACGUAGGGGGCAAGCGUUAUCCGGAUUUACUGGGUGUAAAGGGAGCGCAGGCGGGCUUUUAAGUCAGCGGUCAAAUGCCACGGCUCAACCGUGGCCAGCCGUUGAAACUGCAAGCCUUGAGUCUGCACAGGGCACAUGGAAUUCGUGGUGUAGCGGUGAAAUGCUUAGAUAUCACGAAGAACCCCGAUUGCGAAGGCAGCUUGCUAAACUGUAACUGACGUUCAUGCUCGAAAGUGUGGGUAUCAAACAGG
Molecule: ribosomal RNA, 252 nt
Filed under: Paraprevotella clara YIT 11840
Lineage: Bacteria; Pseudomonadati; Bacteroidota; Bacteroidia; Bacteroidales; Prevotellaceae
Description: partial 16S ribosomal RNA
Rfam family: Bacterial small subunit ribosomal RNA
Source: RNAcentral